This 597-nucleotide ribosomal RNA is filed under the name uncultured bacterium. RNAcentral describes it as "bacterial SSU rRNA". It matches the Rfam family "Bacterial small subunit ribosomal RNA", at positions 8 to 596 of the family's 1533-position model. The record is from RNAcentral.
AGAGUUUGAUCAUGGCUCAGGAUGAACGCUAGCGGCAGGCCUAACACAUGCAAGUCGAGGGGUAACAUAGGAAAGCUUGCUUUUCUGAUGACGACCGGCGCACGGGUGCGUAACGCGUAUACAACCUACCUUUUAGCGGGGAAUAGCCCAGGGAAACUUGGAUUAAUGCCCCAUAGUAUAUAGACUUCUCCUGAAGUUUAUAUUAAACAUUUAUGGCUAUUAGAUGGGUAUGCGUCCUAUUAGUUAGUUGGUAAGGUAACGGCUUACCAAGGCAGCGAUAGGUAGGGGUCCUGAGAGGGAGAUCCCCCACACUGGUACUGAGACACGGACCAGACUCCUACGGGAGGCAGCAGUGAGGAAUAUUGGACAAUGGGCGAGAGCCUGAUCCAGCCAUGCCGCGUGCAGGAAGACUGCCCUAUGGGUUGUAAACUGCUUUUACAGAGGAAGAACCACCCCCACGUGUGGGGGUUUGACGGUACUCUGCGAAUAAGGAUCGGCUAACUCCGUGCCAGCAGCCGCGGUAAUACGGAGGAUCCAAGCGUUAUCCGGAAUCAUUGGGUUUAAAGGGUCCGUAGGCGGGCAGUUAAGUCAGUGGUG